This 478-nucleotide ribosomal RNA is filed under the name uncultured bacterium. RNAcentral's name for it is "bacterial SSU rRNA". It matches the Rfam family "Bacterial small subunit ribosomal RNA", at positions 30 to 506 of the family's 1533-position model. The record is from RNAcentral.
UUGAACGCUGGCGGCAUGCUUUACACAUGCAAGUCGAACGGUAGACCCUUUCGGGGGUUGAGAGUGGCGAACGGGUGAGUAAUGCAUCGGAACAUACCCAGUCGUGGGGGAUAACGUAGCGAAAGUUACGCUAAUACCGCAUGAGUCCUGAGGGAGAAAGCGGGGGAUCGCAAGACCUCGCGCGAUUGGAGUGGCCGAUGUCAGAUUAGCUAGUUGGUGGGGUAAAGGCCUACCAAGGCGACGAUCUGUAGCGGGUCUGAGAGGAUGAUCCGCCACACUGGGACUGAGACACGGCCCAGACUCCUACGGGAGGCAGCAGUGGGGAAUUUUGGACAAUGGGGGCAACCCUGAUCCAGCCAUUCCGCGUGAGUGAAGAAGGCCUUCGGGUUGUAAAGCUCUUUCAGCCGGAACGAAACGGUACGCUCUAACAUAGCGUGCUAAUGACGGUACCGGCAGAAGAAGCACCGGCUAACUACGU